Molecule: transfer RNA, 65 nt
Filed under: fish gut metagenome
Rfam family: tRNA
About the family: Transfer RNA (tRNA) molecules are approximately 80 nucleotides in length. Their secondary structure includes four short double-helical elements and three loops (D, anti-codon, and T loops). Further hydrogen bonds mediate the characteristic L-shaped molecular structure. tRNAs have two regions of fundamental functional importance: the anti-codon, which is responsible for specific mRNA codon recognition, and the 3' end, to which the tRNAs corresponding amino acid is attached (by aminoacyl-tRNA synthetases). tRNAs cope with the degeneracy of the genetic code in two manners: having more than one tRNA (with a specific anti-codon) for a particular amino acid; and 'wobble' base-pairing, i.e. permitting non-standard base-pairing at the 3rd anti-codon position.
Source: RNAcentral
CUGUAGCUCAGCUGGAUAGAGCGUUAGAUUGCGGUUCUAAAGGCCGGAGGUUCGAAUCCUCUCAG